UCUCCGUAGGUGAACCUGCGGAGGGAUCAUUACAAGAGCGAACGGGGGGAUCCGUCCCCCUGAACCUCCAACCCCAUGUUUUCCGACUCUGUUGCCUCGGGGGCGACCCGGCCCUUCUGGGCGUCGGGGCCCCCGGCGGACCACUUCAACUCUGCAUCUUUGCGUCUGAGUCUUAUAUAUGAAUUAAAUCAAAACUUUCAACAACGGAUCUCUUGGUUCUGGCAUCGAUGAAGAACGCAGC
Molecule: unclassified non-coding RNA, 241 nt
Filed under: uncultured fungus
Lineage: Eukaryota; Fungi
Description: sequence contains ITS1, 5.8S rRNA gene
Rfam family: 5.8S ribosomal RNA (bases 193-241)
Source: RNAcentral